GAUGAACGCUGGCGGCGUGCUUAACACAUGCAAGUCGAACGGUGAACACGGAGCUUGCUCUGUGGGAUCAGUGGCGAACGGGUGAGUAACACGUGAGCAACCUGCCCCUGACUCUGGGAUAAGCGCUGGAAACGGCGUCUAAUACUGGAUAUGUGACGUGACCGCAUGGUCUGCGUUUGGAAAGAUUUUUCGGUUGGGGAUGGGCUCGCGGCCUAUCAGCUUGUUGGUGAGGUAAUGGCUCACCAAGGCGUCGACGGGUAGCCGGCCUGAGAGGGUGUCCGGCCACACUGGGACUGAGACACGGCCCAGACUCCUACGGGAGGCAGCAGUGGGGAAUAUUGCACAAUGGGCGCAAGCCUGAUGCAGCAACGCCGCGUGAGGGAUGACGGCCUUCGGGUUGUAAACCUCUUUUAGCAGGGAAGAAGCGAAAGUGACGGUACCUGCAGAAAAAGCGCCGGCUAACUACGUG
Molecule: ribosomal RNA, 469 nt
Filed under: uncultured bacterium
Lineage: Bacteria
Description: partial 16S ribosomal RNA
Rfam family: Bacterial small subunit ribosomal RNA
Source: RNAcentral